UCUCUUCCGCUAACCGCCAUGGCCCUAUAAACCCCGUCUCCCGUGAUCGUUCGCUGGGCCACCGACCUGCCGCUCCCCCUUCUUGUCUUCUCUGCGGCGUAUGGGAGGCGGAGGCAGAAGGCGUCAUCUCUUGUCCGUUCCGGCUUCUGGUUUUGAUGGGGAAGGCGUCUUCUCUUCUCCGUUCCGGCUUCUGAUCGAAGAAAGCGUCAUCAUCCCUACUCCGGCGACUUUGAUCGGAGGCGAGGAUUCCAUUCUUGGCCAGCCAAUCCUAUAAUCUCUUUUCCUUGGGAAUGGAAGCCGAUUUUGUGAAGGGGAAGAAACCACCUGGACAGAAGGUGUGGAUUCUUAUGUCAAGUCGGUUCUUGGACUCUGUUGGGUGCUUCUUGGGGCGUUUUGGAGCUUUUAUAGUGAAUCCCACUAUGGGAAGUGGCCUGAUCAGCUUACUUGGGGCAACAGCACACUGAAUAAAGCCUCUUGGAAAGAGUUACACUUUAUGGUGUCACCCUCAGGUAACGACUUUAAAUGGAUUUGGCAUUUACAAGUUCCUAUGAGGGUCCAAACAUUUUGGUGGAAAAUAAUGUUGUGGCAAAAGUUUCCUUGAAAGCUGCAUUACAUGGUUGGGAUAUCAUUCCAAUUCACUCACAAUUCUGGGAUUUAUGCCCAUCUACCAAUGACGAUUGUGAACAUGUUAUCAUUACUUGUGCAUUUGCUCAGCAGUGUUGGCAGGAAUUAAAUCAUGAGAGCAGCCUGGACUUUAUACCUUCCUCUUUGCCACCUCUUGUGGAACUUGUUUUCCAAGCCAUGGUAGAGAGGAGGUGUAAGGCCCUGGUUGCCUAUGCUUCUUGGCUAUUUUGGUCUGCUUGGAAUGAAAGAUUAUUUCAAGCUUCAGUUAUCUCACCUACAAGUUGUUGCAAGGAAAGCAUGUUACUGUCAUUCUGAAAUGGUGGAUAAACCAUGAUUUAUAAUGUUUCAAAAUACUCCCAGAUCAUUAGCAUCAGCUCUCAUUACGUUCGCUUGGCCAAUCUCUCAUUUGCGAAACUUGACAUCAUCAAAGCGCUCCAAGAUAAAGGCAACAGAUAUGGAGACUCCUGCAUUGACUCUUUUAAGAGAUGAAAGCAAUUGGUCAUGGAUGACUAUUUAAGCUUGGGUCAUAAUACCGCGUAUCUUCUUGUGGUAGGCUGCAAAUCAUCUGGCAGCAAAGUCCUUCGGAACUGUUAGUCUCGCUGGCGGUUUGUCGCUGGUCUCUCUGACGACAUGUCGCUGAUCUCACUGGCGACAUAAAUUCUCAGGACAAAUCAUUUGCCAACGUAUAUGCCUCCAUUGACGGGGUCCUUUACAUAGCCAGGUCUAGGUUUGGUGAGCACAUAACGUCAACCACUUCUUCUCAUGAAUCAAGUUCAAGCAUUCCACUAUGAAUAGCUCGCAGAGAUGGUGAUAGGCAUGUUGGUGGUGAACUACAAGAUCAUCUUGAUACUGAUUGGUGCAUACUUUUGAGUGAUAGGAACAUUGUGAAUUUACAUAUUUUGGCAUGGUAGAAAAAUCAAGAAUGAGCAAUGCUAGUUAUUUUGGCAUUGUGAAUUAGACGGUCUACAAGUAGAUUUGAAGUAAAAUAUUCUUCCAUCACUUUUUAUUAUUCUAGGGUUUCAUUUUAUGAUAUCUAUGCUAUCUAUUUCUAGGGUUUUGGGCCU
Elaeis guineensis (African oil palm) is the source of this 1688-nucleotide non-coding RNA. Lineage: Eukaryota; Viridiplantae; Streptophyta; Magnoliopsida; Arecales; Arecaceae. The record is from RefSeq and is a predicted model, not a curated record.